Streptomycetaceae bacterium MP113-05 is the source of this 98-nucleotide non-coding RNA. The record is from Rfam. Lineage: Bacteria; Bacillati; Actinomycetota; Actinomycetes; Kitasatosporales; Streptomycetaceae.
GUGAGCCGUGUGCGGGAGAACCGCAUGCACGGUUCGAAGCGGCGGGGGCUGGAAACGGAGCGGACGUACUCCGCCACCGCGCCAGCCCCCGACCCUAC